GACCGCGUAGCUCACUUAAUUGGCAGAGCAUUGGGCUAGUAUUCCUAAGGUCGUAGGUUCGAUUCCCACCGUGGUCA
Paramuricea clavata is the source of this 77-nucleotide non-coding RNA. The record is from the annotation of a GenBank genome assembly. Lineage: Eukaryota; Metazoa; Cnidaria; Anthozoa; Malacalcyonacea; Plexauridae.